CAAGAGCGUAUAUUAAAGUUGCUGCGGUUAAAAAGCUCGUAGUUGGAUUUCAGUCUAGGAAGGUUAACUCGCCGAAAGGUUGUACGUUGAUUUUCCUCAGACUUCGUCAGAAGCUCGUGCUGCACUUAACUGUGUGGUACGAUGUUCUGACCUUCUACCUUGAGGAAAGUAGAGUGUUUCAGGCAGGCUACCCAGCUUGAAUACAUUAGCAUGGAAUAAUGAAAUGGAUCUCGGUUCGAUUUCGUUGGUUCUAGAGCUGAGGUGAUGAUCAAUAGGAACAGGCGAAGGUAUUCGUACUUGAGAGUGAGGAGUGAAAUCCGAUGAUCUCUUAAAGACGAUCCGAGGCGAAAGCAUUUGUCAAGGAUGUUUUCACUGA
Molecule: ribosomal RNA, 376 nt
Filed under: uncultured eukaryote
Lineage: Eukaryota
Description: partial 18S ribosomal RNA
Rfam family: Eukaryotic small subunit ribosomal RNA
Source: RNAcentral